CCUACGGAGGGCAGCAGUGAGGAAUAUUGGUCAAUGGGCGCGAGCCUGAACCAGCCAAGUAGCGUGAAGGAUGACUGCCCUACGGGUUGUAAACUUCUUUUAUAAAGGAAUAAAGUGAGGCACGUGUGCCUUUUUGUAUGUCUUUUAUGAAUAAGGAUCGGCUAACUCCGUGCCAGCAGCCGCGGUAAUACGGAGGAUCCGAGCGUGAUCCGGAUUUAUUGGGUUUAAAGGGAGCGUAGAUGGGUUGUUAAGUCAGUUGUGAAAGUUUGCGGCUCAACCGUAAAAUUGCAAUUGAUACUGGCAGCCUUGAGUACAGUUGAGGUAGGCGGAAUUCGUAGUGUAGCGGUGAAAUGCUUAGAUAUCACGAAGAACUCCGAUUGCGAAGGCAGCCUACUAGACUGCCACUGACAUUGAUGCUCGAAAGUGUGGGUAUCAAACAGGAUUAGAUACCCGGGUAGUC
Molecule: ribosomal RNA, 460 nt
Filed under: uncultured bacterium
Lineage: Bacteria
Description: partial 16S ribosomal RNA
Rfam family: Bacterial small subunit ribosomal RNA
Source: RNAcentral